Molecule: long non-coding RNA, 696 nt
Organism: Ostrea edulis (European flat oyster)
Lineage: Eukaryota; Metazoa; Mollusca; Bivalvia; Ostreida; Ostreidae
Exons: 2
Source: RefSeq, a predicted model, not a curated record
UCGGACAUUCCCGAUUUUUUGCCUCUCGCUGACAGCAUCCAAAAUAUGCAAUAAGAUGUCAUGGGUGCAAAGGUUUUGUUCGCAAACUUCAUAGCAGGGCAGACUACUCCUUUUCUGGUUGCAAUGCAGAUUGUUCCACCAGACUCUGCAAGCCCAUGUUUACAGACAACCAAGAUCGCCUUUGUAGUCGUACCUAAAUGCAUGUGCUUCAAUUUAAAUUUUGAUAUAUAGACCAGCCAAUGUGUAUAUGGUGUAAAAGGAUGCAACUUUAAGUAUUAUUUGAUAUUUGUAUGUGACUUGUUGGAGAGGAUUUUUUGCUGAAUAGAUGAUUUUAAUAAAAUACUUAUGUAUAUCUUUCAAAGUGUUUUUUUUUUAUAUGGUUUUGUUCAAGUUAAUGGUCAAACACACUUGAUGUUGUGUUAAUGUAUGAUACAUGUAUAAUGAUUAGAUUGAUAUUUUAUUUGAAAAGACAAAUAUUUAUUUUCAUGGUAAAAUGUCGUGAAUUUUGAGCGUUGAAAAAAGGUCGUCGCGCGCAAAAUCCCCCAUGGGGAUUUUCAAAAGUUGGCAUGUAUGAAUCUCAUAACUCCCACAUGGAAUACAAAAUAGAUAGUUGGGCAAACACGGACCCAUGUACGCACCAGAGGUGUGAUCAGGUAUCUAGGAGGAGUAAGUAUCCCCUGUCGACUGGUCACACCC